AACCAGCACCUCAAGUGGUCAGGAUGAUUAUUGGGCCUAAAGCAUCCGUAGCCGGCUCUGUAAGUUUUCGGUUAAAUCUGUACGCUCAACGUACAGGCUGCCGGGAAUACUGCAGAGCUAGGGAGUGGGAGAGGUAGACGGUACUCGGUAGGAAGGGGUAAAAUCCUUUGAUCUAUUGAUGACCACCUGUGGCGAAGGCAAUCCCCUGGGCCUGCACUGACGCUCAUGCACGAAAGCGUGGGGAGCAAACAGG
This 253-nucleotide ribosomal RNA is filed under the name uncultured archaeon. RNAcentral's name for it is "partial 16S ribosomal RNA". It matches the Rfam family "Archaeal small subunit ribosomal RNA", at positions 474 to 727 of the family's 1478-position model. The record is from RNAcentral.